This 744-nucleotide ribosomal RNA is filed under the name uncultured bacterium. RNAcentral's name for it is "bacterial SSU rRNA". It matches the Rfam family "Bacterial small subunit ribosomal RNA", at positions 8 to 796 of the family's 1533-position model. The record is from RNAcentral.
AGAGUUUGAUCAUGGCUCAGAACGAACGCUGGCGGCUGCUAACACAUGCAAGUCGAACGUGAUCCUGGGCUUCGGCGGGUGAAAGUGGCAGACGGGUGAGUAACGCGUGGGAACCUGCCNNNNNNUAGGGAAUAACCGCGGGAAACUGCGGCUAAUACCCUAUGUGCCCUGCGGGGCAAAGAUUUAUCGCCAUGGGAGGGGCCCGCGUCGGAUUAGGUAGUUGGUGGGGUAACGGCCCACCAAGCCUUCGAUCCGUAGCUGGUCUGAGAGGAUGAUCAGCCACACUGGGACUGAGAUACGGCCCAGACUCCUACGGGAGGCAGCAGUGGGGAAUAUUGGACAAUGGGGGCAACCCUGAUCCAGCAAUGCCGCGUGGGUGAUGAAGGCCUUCGGGUUGUAAAGCCCUUUCGGCGGGGAAGAUGAUGACGGUACCCGCAGAAGAAGCCCCGGCUAACUUCGUGCCAGCAGCCGCGGUAAUACGAAGGGGGCUAGCGUUGUUCGGAAUUACUGGGCGUAAAGGGCGCGUAGGCUGUGCUGUAAGUCAGGCGUGAAAGGCCGGGCUCAACCUGGGAAUGGCGCUUGAUACUGCGGCGCUGGAAGGCGGGAGAGGAGGCGGAAUUCCCAGUGUAGAGGUGAAAUUCGUAGAUAUUGGGAAGAACACCGGGCGAAGCGGCAUCUGGCCCGCGAUUGACGCUGAGGCGCGAAAGCGUGGGGAGCAAACAGGAUUAGAUACCCUAGUAGUCC